This 402-nucleotide ribosomal RNA is filed under the name uncultured bacterium. RNAcentral describes it as "bacterial SSU rRNA". It matches the Rfam family "Bacterial small subunit ribosomal RNA", at positions 30 to 417 of the family's 1533-position model. The record is from RNAcentral.
AGCGAACGUUAGCGGCGGGCUUAACACAUGCAAGUCGAGCGAGAACGGGGCUUCGGCUCCUAGUAAAGCGGCGGACGGGUGAGUAACACGUAGGUAAUCUUCCUUCGAGCGGGGGACAACGGUCCGAAAGGACCGCUAAUACCGCGUACGUUUCCGAGGACUCUGGUCUUCGGAAGGAAAGCUAGGUAGCAAUAUCCGGCACUCGGAGCGGAGCCUGCGUCGCAUCAGCCUAGUUGGUGGGGUAACGGCCUACCAAGGCGAAGACGCGUAGCUGGUCUGAGAGGGCGACCGGCCACACUGGGACUGAGACACGGCCCAGACUCCUACGGGAGGCAGCAGUGGGGAAUCUUGCGCAAUGGGCGAAAGCCUGACGCAGCGACGCCGCGUGAGGGAUGACGGCCU